AGCCACCCACCACCCAGCGGCAUCUCCCCGCUUGCUUCCUUCGCCUCCACUCUACUCCAAGAACCCAGCGGCGGAGAUCGGUGGAGGUCGUCAUCACCAGAGCAACCGGCCGUAGAUGCGAGCGGGCGCGCUCCUGCUCCUCCACCGCCACCUCCACGACAGCGCCAUGGACGGCUACGGCCACACCGGCGGCGGCUCCAAGGCCGCGGCUUUCUCCUCCGCGAGGGGUCCCGCGGGGUUCCCGCCGCCUUUGCCGCCGGAGAAGCGGCGCGGGGCGGCGCUGGCGAGGCGCGGGAGCGUCGGGGCCGCCAGCGGCGACGGCGGCCCGGCGGGCAUCGGGGGAAGCUACCUGGGCGCGGAGGCGGCGGCGCUGCUGGCGUGCGUGACGGCCACGCUGCUGGUGCUGCCGCUGCUGCUGCCCCCGCUCCCGCCGCCGCCGCCGCUCUUCCUGCUCGUGCCCGUCGCCAUCUUCGCCGUCCUGGUCCUGCUCGUGCUCGUCCCCUCCGACGCCAGGGGCGCCGCCAGCACCGCUACGCCCUACUCCUCCUCCUAUAGUUAGCUACCUUAUUAGAUUGGGCGCCCGGCCUUGUCGUCAUGUAAAUGUAAUUAAACGCGGACUCGGUGUGCUCGUCUUGUUCUUCAGAGAUCAAUCCAUGGAGAGGCUUUUGUUUUGCUCGAUUCGAUCAGUCCCGAUUUCGUCGAUGGUUCUUCCCUCUCUGCAUUUGCUUCUGCAAGUACGACGGUGACAAACUGACAACCGUCGAAUUGACUUCAUUCUUGCAAAGUUGCAAUCCAGAAUUCGACCCGGACAUCGAUUCAGAUUUGGAUCCUGAACUCGUAGAGAUCUCUGAUGAUUCCGCCUCCGAGUCCGAGAGCUCUGCAUCAUUGAACUUAGAUGCAGAGCACAGCGACGAUCGAGUGGCAGCUCACGUGCCAGCAGCCAGAUGGGCCAGGGUGAUGUGGGGGCAGAUUCAGUUUCAACUUUCAACUUCCAAGGGAGUCAGAAACUCGUACCAGCGAUAGUCGUCGUGUUCCUCGCGCAGCUUCUAUCCGCGAAACGAGCAGGAUCAUGCAGUUGUUAGGAUUUCCGGGAGUCGUCACUAGCAAGAUCUCAACGAACCUGGACACGAGCUUUCUCCACACGCUACUCUGCACAGAUUUUUUUUUCCCCUUGAAGUGUUGCUGCAGCUAGAAGAAAAGUAAAGUAGUAGCUCGAAAGAUGAUGCGCAUCGAUAGAUUGCGUCACGAGAAUGUUGGAAAAAAUGGGGGCUUGUUCGUCCAUCCAACUAUAUCCAAGAAUCUAGGUGCCUUCCAAAAAGAGAAAUAUUACGGGCCUAGUUAAUGGGUAUCCGGCUCAACACUAGCUACUGUUUCAUACAGGCACGGUUAUGGAUGGGAUGCAUUCCGAGUUUUUCUGUACUAGGCCGCAGAAUACAAAGCCCACACGGCCCUGAGCUUUAAACCAAGCCCACCGCCGACCACCACCCGGCCCACAUGGGUAUUGUCAUUUAUGUAUGGCGGUUGUAGUAGUAGCCCAACUUGCGGCGUAUGCGUG
Molecule: long non-coding RNA, 1555 nt
Filed under: Setaria viridis
Lineage: Eukaryota; Viridiplantae; Streptophyta; Magnoliopsida; Poales; Poaceae
Description: long non-coding RNA (SVIR_LNC006427)
Source: RNAcentral